GACGAACGCUGGCGGCGUGCUUAACACAUGCAAGUCGAACGGAAAGGCCCUGCUUUUGUGGGCUUCCGGGUGGCGAAUGGGGGACGAAUGAGGGAUGCACCUGCCCCUAGCUUUUGGUUGAAGUUAAGGAAAGGGGGCUUAUUCCGGGAACGCAGACCACCUUCCUGGGGGGGGAUGGGAAGUUUUGGCCGGUUGGGGAUGAAUCCGCGGCUUACCGGCUGGUUGGUGGGGUAGUGGCUGACCAAGGCUUGGAGGGGUACCCGGCUGGAGAGGGUGACCGGCCACAUUGGGACUGAGGUACGGCCCAGACUCCUACGGGAGGCAGCAGUGGGGAAUAUUGCCCAAUGGGCGGAAGCCUGAUGCAGCAACGCCGCGUGCGGGAUGACGGCUUUCGGGUUGUGAACCGCUUUCGCCUGUGACGAAGCGUGAGUGACGGUAAUGGGUAAAGAAGCACCGGCUAACUACGUG
Molecule: ribosomal RNA, 468 nt
Filed under: uncultured bacterium
Lineage: Bacteria
Description: partial 16S ribosomal RNA
Rfam family: Bacterial small subunit ribosomal RNA
Source: RNAcentral